AAAAAAAUAUCGGCAAUAAGAAUAAGAUAAGAUUAUCGAAUCCGAUCCAAGCUGAAUUAUUUUAUAAACGACUUUGUUGUCUGAACGCGUUAAAAGAAAGACAACUCUAAUAGGACUAUUGCAUCAUCCAUGAUUUAUCUCCCAUUUCAUACUAAUGUAUUUAUCGACCGAAAUGAUUCUGGUAAAAAACAGACACUUUAUUCGUACAGUGGUUA
This 215-nucleotide long non-coding RNA is filed under the name Mytilus galloprovincialis (Mediterranean mussel). The record is from RNAcentral. Lineage: Eukaryota; Metazoa; Mollusca; Bivalvia; Mytilida; Mytilidae.